UUUUGACUCCAAGGUUUAUUAGGAAAGAUUUGAGUGAUGGAAUUAAUUUGCUUUGAAAAAUGAACAUUUUCUAAGCAUCGCGUCUCCUAAACAUACAUCUAAAACGGUAAACAUACAAUGUGUGUGCGUGUCGGUGCUUGUGUCGGUGUACAUCACUAUAAAGAGUCCAUUGUCCUUUACAUUUCCCUAUUUUACAUGCUAUGGUCUUGUAAGGAAUUAAAAGGAAAUUAAACUACCUAAAAUUACAUGUCCAUUUGACAUAGAAAUUGAAAGAUAAAAUGCCUAAACUACAAAAAAUGAAGAUAAAGUGAUAAGGUGCUUAUGAAAUGGAUGAAACAUGAAAUAGAAUGAUUAGUAGAAUAAGGCAUAAAUGGUAAGAAAAAGUAAGCAAUCAAAUAUGAGAUAAAACGGUGAAAAUGACGACAAUAGCCGAAAUGUAAAAGGAAACACAUUACUUGAAACACAAGAAACUAAAAAAUCACAUCUAAAACAGUAAAAAAAACACAUGAUCAGAGGCAUAUUCAUCACAAAAUUGCAUAUCAAUCACUCAUAUCAUAUAUCAAAAUAUUAUGAACAAAAAUGUGGCAAAAAUUCCCAACAAUCAACUUAAAAAGAGAAAAAAAAUCAAGAACUAACACACACAUUUUAUCAAUUUCUUAACAUGCAAAAAUAUCACAAAAAUAUCAAAAAUGUAUCAAGAAACACAUAGAAAAUUUUUAGGAAUUUUAUGGAAAAAAAUAAAGCAAGCAGGAGGUCCACAUAGCAAGAAACAGGGGUGUGCAUAGCAUGAAAAAAAAGUAAAAACGCAGAAAAAAAAACAAAAAGAAACAGGCCCAAGCCCAAGCCUAAGGGGUCCGGCCGCACAGGAACCACAGAAUUGAUCCAGAGGAUCAAACCCUAGAUCUAACGGUCAAGAUCAAAGGAUGGUGAACCAAAGCUGGACCGGUCCGGUUCGGUUGCUUAUAAAAUGUGGAGGGACCGGUCCAGUUUCAUUUUUCACUUCCCUCUCUCUCUCUCUUCACUAAUUCUAGUGAGAGAAGCUCUCACUUCUCUCUUCUCCCUCCCUCACCGGUUUCUGAGAAAGCCGGCCGGAGAGGAUGAAGAUCUGGCCGGAACCUUCAAGGUCCGCCGGAAUCUUCAUCUUCUCCGGCGAGAUCUGCAGAUUCCGACGUUCAAAAAUUCCAGAAUUCGACCAAAACUACUUCAAUCCACUCGCCUUCUAAUCCUGAGUAUGAAUCCACCACUGAAAUUUGCAGGCAAGGCUUAAAUCAACGUAGAUCUAGAAAAAGCUUUACGGUUUUUCGAAGAAAAUUUUAGGUUUUUACUUUUUUGAAUGAAACUGUUUAGAAACUCCAAGAUCUACGUUGAUUUGUCUGUGUUGAUGUGUUUUGAAAGAAAAGGAAGAAAAAGAAAUUUUGAGUAUGUUACCUCUGGUUUUAAUCGGAGAUUUCGAGCAAGAUUCUUCGGAAACACUUGAUUCUCGUUCUGUUUGAUGAUUUGGUGCUCGGAACCGAAAAUAAAUCGGUGAUUCUUUCACUGAUUUGAUUUCUUCUUCUUUACCGGUUCAAUUUCUCCAUUUCUUUCCUUCUUCUUCUCCUUCCUCUGACUCUGUGAUCGGUGUUGGAGUUCCUCGCCUCCGGUGAGGAAUUCGUGCCUUGAAUUGCAGAGGAGUCAAUUCAGUGAUGAAGAUUCAUCAAUGAAUCUAUGAGAAUUGACGAAUUUGUUGAUGGAUUUGGUUCUGGAAAAUUUAGGGUUUGAACUUGUUCUUGUGUUCUUGGUGAAUUUUCUGUUUUUUAUCCUAACUGACAAGAGAGAGAAGAUUCUUCUCUGUUUGUGAUGUGGCAUGUAAUGAAUGGGAUUUUUUUCUUCUGACACUGUGCACUAUUUAUAAGCUGCCAAGUGUGCCUUUGGACCAGUGAAAUGGUGACACCUGUACUUGAACUUGAAAUGGCUCGGCCUUGUACAAUUUGUGACUUGGGACCUUUCUGCAAAAUAAUAAACUUGAAGGACUAAUCUGCAAUUGUAAAAAAAACAAAAAAAUGCAAUUUUAAAAAGAAAUGGGACCAAAAUGCAAUUUUAGAAACUGUCUCAGGGACCAAAAUGCAAUAAAAAUAAAAUUGGACUAGAAAUUGGUAAAUUGGACAAAACGUAAAGUAAAAUCUAAAAUAAAAUCAACAAAAGGACUAAAAUGAACCAAUUACAAAAAUGAGGUAUUUUAAAAUACUUCUGUCGAAAUUUUGAUGGGAAAAGACCAAAAUGCCCCUAGGGACUAAACUGACUCAGAUGCAAUUUUUGAAAUGAUUUUUUUUUAACAAAAACUCAACAAUGAUUUAUAAAACAAGUUGAAAAGACUCAGAGACAAUCACAGGGACUAAAAUGGGUUCCACUGCAGGAAAUGACCAAAAUACCCUUCUUGUAUGAUUUUUGCAAAUAUUUGAAUUAAAGUGCAAGAAAACAAAGCAAUGAUUCAGAGAGACUUUUUUAAUGACUUGUAACACAAGAAAGGACACUUUGGAUGGUUUUAUGCAAGAAAAUCACAGACAAAAUCACAAUUGAAAAUACUUUGAGACAGAGACAGUAAAAGGUGCAGAUGAAACAAAGUAAAGCUUCAGCGUAAAACAACAGUAAAUUGACAAUUAUCAGUAGUAGAAAAUAAAUUUGAAUGAGUAUUUUUAGGUCCAUAAUCAGGGUAUAACACUUUCUAAUCAUAUCUUUCAGUUGUCUUCUAGCAUUGUUAUUGUAUGCCCCUCUGAUGUUCCAAGAGAGGAUUGAAAUAUCUAUCAGAGCAUCCAUAAUAAAACUGGAAAAAAAAAAGGACCAUAGAGGUAGGUAAUUACGUGACCAUGUCUUCAUCACAAACACCAUGAUCAUCCUUAUUAUUCAUAUUGGCCAUACAAUCAUCUUCUAACUCCUCAUUGUUACUAUGAGUGAGAAUAGUGGUCGAAAUUGUGUGAGGGUCAGAGGUGGUUGGGGGUUUCAUGGUGCUGCUUCCUGAAUUUCCCUCUAAAGCAAAAGUCUGGUCGUGUUUUUGUGGGGACAGGAUAGGUGAAACAAAGUUGUUAUUGGUCCUUUGGUUAUUCUUUAUCGGGGUAGAUAUUGCAUGUUUUUAUGAAGUAUCAUUAGCUGGCUUAGGGUUGGAAAUAAUGAUUGGGGAAGUAAAGGAAUGCUUCAUGAGGUGGUCAGCUGUGUUUUCAUCUUGCCUACGUCUUUUGGGGUCAUUAGUAUGUUUGGUUGCAUGUGUUAAAUCAUUAGGAUUAGGGCGCGGGGGAAAUGUCUGAUUUGGUGGGGUAGGUCUGAUUUUUUGGGUCAUAGAAGCCAACGUGGUGAACCUAUUGGUUUUGUUGGUAACAGUCUUUGAGGAAUUUAAGGUGGAGUUAUUGGUUGACUUCUUUUUUCUUUUAACAAGCAGCCAAUCACCAUGAAGUUCUUUACUCCCUUCAUCAAUGCUAAUUAUAUUGCCUUUAAUUGUUGAUAAAUCAUUCGGAACAUAAUUAAAAAUGUUACCAUUAUUGGAAUCCGCCAUUAAUUGCUCCUGGCCGGUGGUGGGAUUGGUUUGUUACGGUGUCUGGCUGGACUCGCGGUUGUUGACAACACUCUGGUGUUGUGGUGUUUCAGGAGCGGCGGUGCUGGCAGGCUUAGAGCAGUUUCGACCUAGAUGGCCGUAACAACCACAGUUGGUGCAUAUUAGAUGGAGGCCCUCGUACUGAAUUUUGUACCAAUGUCCAUUCACCCAAAUCUUCCUUACAACUGGAAGUGUGAGAUCAAUUUCGACGCAGACUCUUGCAAGUUUUCCUCUUUCAACUUUCAAGGUGUUAGUGUCCACUUUGACUGGCCUGCCAAUUGCUCAAGCCAUAGCUAGGAGAAAACUUUCAUCGUAAUAGACUAGAUUUAGACCUGGAAAAUGAACCUAGACGACCGUGUGUUCCACUUUGGCAUUUGGAGAGGCAAACUCGAGGGACCAAUGUGUGACUGCAAGACAAUGGUCGUAAAUUAACCAAGGACCUCCCGUAACAACUUUCUCUUUGUCUGCUGCUUGAUCAAACUUCACCAUAUAGAAGUCAUUGUCGUUAUCCAUGAUUUCGAAUCCUCCUUGGAGUUUCCAAAUUUUUUGCAGCCGAUCUCUCAUGGAAUUGUAUCCUAGGUUCUUGCCCAACAGCUUGACCACGAGGGCGUCUUUCCAUGGUGUGCAUAGUUCCUGGAAUACCGUUGGCUCCAGGUAAACCUUUGAGAGAAGUCUAUUUUCAUCUUCCAAUUCAAUUCGUACCAGGUUUUUUUCGAUCAUGUUUUCUUUUUCUCGGAUUGGGGCAUCUUGAGAGGAUCCCAAGAGUUUAUCACGGAAGGAGGGCUUUGGUGAUGAGGGCUUGGGGUCAGGUGGCUUUUUGGAGUGGUGCAGGGUUGGAUCAUCUUGAGCUGAGAAGACAAACUCAGAGCUCAUUGCACUCAUACCCUAAAAUUGCAUAAUGUUCUUUUUCUUAUGACAUUUAAUAUUAACUAAAUGUAUACCAUAUUAUUAAAAAUACAAGUUAGUUAUGGUUUAUUUUGCUUAUCAUUUGUUUGUUAAUUUUUUUUUGCUUAUCGUUUGUUCUAUUAUCGCCCCCCUCAACCUUUUUUCUAGCUCCGUCCCUGGACAACUGUGUCUGAAAAUUUUCGGAAAGUAUAUCAGUCGCGAGAACUAGCAUUUCCCUUGAGAAUAUAUUGCACUGUUUUAGAUUUUUAAGUGUUGCGCCAAUUUCAUUUUUUUUUUGAAAGAAGUGUUGCGCCAAUUUCAUUGGUGAGUUAAACUUGAGUCCUAUAUUUGACUUGGUUUAUUGAUCUAUAUGUGUAGUAUGUGUCUGCAUGGUUUAUUGAGUUUUGACAUGGUUGCAAAUUAUUAAUAAUUGGGAUUAGCUCCUAUACAAUAUCCUUCAGAAAACUCUAUAUAAAGGGUAUUUUAAAUGUAUGCGUGUGUUCUGCAUAAAGGAAUAAAUGUGUUCUCCUUCAUAUUAUUUUCCCUUCGUUUGUGCUCUUUGGUAAUGCAACAAUGCUAUUGGUGCUUAGGAGAUACAAUUAAAAACAAUUGCAAAUUUAUCGAUUUUAUUAUCAUAUUAUUUUCCCUUUGAUCUUUCCUUUGACUGUCGGGUUGGAAUAGUAGAUUUCUUUCUUUUGGUGGCCGUUUGAUCCUCCUCAAAGCUGUUCUGACAUCUCUGCUUGUCUAUGCUCUUUCUUUCUUCAAAGCUCCAUCAGGUAUAAUCUCUUCCAUUGAAUCUUUAUUGAAUAAUUUUUUUUGGGGUGGGAGUGAGGAUUGUAGAAAAAUUACUUGGAUAGGUUGGAAUACCUUGUGUUCUAAAAAGGAGCAUGGAGGUUUGGGGGUUAGGAAGUUGAAGGAGUUUAAUAUUGCUUUAUUAGGUAAAUGGUGUUGGAGGAUGUUAGUUGACAGAGAAGGGUUGUGGUAUCAUGUUCUAGUCGCCCGUUAUGGCAAAGUAGGUGGGAGGUUGGAGGUGGGGGCCGAAGUGUUUCCUUGUGGUGGCGGGAGGUAGGUAGGAUUCGUGAUGGUGUCGGUGACAUAGGUGGAGGGUGGUUCGAUGAUAGUGUUAUACGGAGGGUGGGUGAUGGUGUUGCGACUCUGUUCUGGUCGCAUAGGUGGUUUGGAGGUCCACCGCUUUUUGUGCGGUUUCCUCGUUUGUUUGACUUAGCAGAGAACAAAACCAUUACGGUGGCUUCUUUGUUCUCUAUGGGCGUGGAGCAGGGUGGGGAGGGGUGGAGUUGGAGGCCUAGGCUAUGGACGUGGGAGGAGGCUUUGCUAGAGGAGUGUAGGGCGUUACUAUUUGAUAUCUCUUUGGUUUCCAAUGUUUCAGAUAUUUGGGAGUGGCUUCCUAAUACUACAGAGGGGUACUCCGUGAGAGCUUCCUAUGACUUACUAACGACCGGUGAUGAUUCUCAGUUGGGAUUACCGUUUGAUUUGGUGUGGCAUCCUCAGGUUCCUUUGAAGCUCUCAGUUUCUGCGUGGCGCCUUCUCCGGGAUCGAUUACCAACGAAAGCUAACCUGGCUACUAUAACACCCCGUUUUCCCAAUAUAAAAAUUUCUAAACAUAUAUCAGAGUAAACAGCAUAAACGAGAUAUCACAUUCAAAUAUAUUCCAAAAUCAGUUAAAUAACAAUUUAACUUUCAACAAAAUAACUUAAACAUUGCAGCGGAAAAUUGUUUCGAAAUCCAUAAAUCAUUUUGGCACGUAGGCCCCAUCAGAUAUCUCAAACGAGUUAACCAAUAUCAUAAAAAUAACAUAAUUGUUCACGUAAGAGAAUGAAGCAUGCAUAUCAAAACCCCAUCCCGUUACGUAUCAGAGCGACCUAGACGACUCAGUGAGGCAAGGUCACUCACGACGGCAAACUGCACACUAAGCACGAUCACCUGCAAGUUACUCAUACGAAGAGCAACAUUUUCAAGCAGAAGGGGUGAGAUUUCAUAACACAAUGAUAUUAAUCAAUAUAAUUCGAAUCAUAAUUAACAUCAUAAACAGUCUUAAUCAUCAUUGCAUCUUUGAUAAACAGUUAUCAAGUAAUCACAGCAUUCAAUCAUCAUCAAUAACAUAACAUCUUCAGACUCGACAAAUGCGACAAUGCAACUUAGACACUCUUAUAUGCAUGUGGUACCAAUCGUCAUCAUAGUAUUAAUAUACUUUAAUCGUGGGGAGGACAAAGCUCCAAUCGUGGUGAGGACAAAACUCAAAUCGUGGUGAGGACAAAGCUCAAUGUAUGCUAAUGCAUGGACUCUAUCAACAAAACACCUUAAUCAACAAGUCACUUAUACAUCCAAUAAUUUGGAGUUCAUCAUCAACUUAUUCAGACUCAUGCAACUUAGUUAAUUAACAAUAGCAGCAUAAUCAGAUCACAUCAACAGCUUAAUAUCAAUUCAUUUUCAACAAUUUCUUGAGCAUUCAAUAAUAAUUCAAGUAAUGCAAUCAAUCAAUAAAUCACAUUAUAAUCACUUAGCAUUUCAUAAUAGCUUCACAGUUCUCAGUUAAUAUCUUAAAUAGGUCUCAUUAGUACCUAAGUUCAUUUCCUAAUCAAUCCAAGCAACUCAAGUCUCAAAAUCCUCAAAUGCACUCAGUUCUGGAAGUGCUCGCGAGGCGAGAGCAUCUGCUCGCCAUGGCGAGUACAAGCCAGAUUCCAAACUAAGGUUGUUCCAGGUUCAAUCUUGUUCUAAAUCAUUCUCUAAUCUUUAGUAGACACCUAAAGGUACUCAAAGGCAUCUAAGGUUCAACUCAAAAGUCAAAAACUCAGAAUUCGACAUGCUCUCUGGUCAUGCUCGCUAUGGCGAGUAGGGUUGCUCGCUGUGGCGAGCUACGACAUGUAACUCGCGAGGCGAGGGAUUUUGGCUCGCGUGGCGAGCGAUGAACUUCAUCACUCGCGAGGUGAGGAUCAUCACUCGCCAGGGCGAGCAAUGAACAUAGGCUCGGGCAGAAUGCAGUUUUUACAAAAAUUUCAUGAUCUCGCAUGGUUCUAAGCCUAAUUUCAAUUCCAGAAUUCAUCCUAAACAUAUUCUAAGGUUAUAGGACGGUUUCUACAUCAAUCUAAUCAAUUUUAGGGAUUUGACCUAAUUACAAAAACUUUUCUAAUUCAAUCCUAACUUUGUCAAUUAAUCAUCAGAAUUAUAGCAAUCAACAUUACCGAAUUAUUAGUCUCACCCUUACCUUAAAGUGUAUAAAUCGCAGCCCUCCUAGGUCUCUCUUGCUCUUCUCUUGGUUUUUCCUCUUUUUCUCCAAAAACAGUCGUACGUGCAAUUGUUUUUCUAAAACUAGGUCUUUCUUUUUAUAUCUCCUCUUAAUAUCUUAUCUUAUCUCACUUUCUCCCCCAAAACUCUCUAAAAUCUCAAAACAACCCUUAACUAAAUAUUUUAUUUUAUUUUCAAAUCUUAUUUUAUUUAACAAUAAAAUAAGUCUCAUAAUCUCAUCAAAACAUAUCAAAAUCAUCCAAAUCAUCUAAAUCAACAAAAUUCACACAUAUAUUAUAUAAAUAUAAUAUAAUUGCCUAAACUCAAUUAAAUAAAUAAUCAAACGAAAGUGGGCGUUACAGCUACUUGUGGUGUUAUUCCUGCGGAUGAUAUCUUUUCUGUUUCUGGUUGCGGUCACGUGGAGACAGUCGAACAUUUAUUUUUAUCUUGUACUACGUUUGCAUCUUUAUGGCAGCAGGUGCGCGAUUGGAUUGGUUUUAGUGGAGUGGACUCUAACAUCAUUGCAGAUCAUCUGGUGCAGUUUACUCAUUUGACAGGUGUUGGUAAAGCAAAAAGCUCGUUCAUGCAGCUUAUUUGGCUUUUGUGUUCUUGGGUUGUGUGGAAUGAACGUAACAACCGAUUGUUCAAUAAUACUGUUUGUUUAGUCCCCCAACUGUUAGAUAAGGUUAAAUUGUUAUCUUUGGGGUGGCUGAAAGCUAAAAAGGUUGUGUUUGUUUACGGUAUGCAGAGAUGGUGGUCAAGCCCUUUAGCUUGUUUGGGCAUUGACUAACUAGUGUAAUCUCGAUUUGUUGUGAUCAUUAACUCUUGUAACUUUUAGUGGUAUCCUAGGCACAUCUUGUGCUUGGGAACUGCUGCUUGAUGUGGUAUAUAAUUUCAUUUUAAUUUCUUAAAAAAAAAAAACAAUUAACUAGGAAUGAAAAUAAGUCUAACGACCUAUUGAUGUGAAUUUAAUUUAGAGAAUUCUUAUACGGUGCGAAGGAAUACUUUGGCAGGCCACCCUAUUUUUGGGAUCAUCCACCUAUUUUGAGAGAAUAGUGAGUGUGAAUCACUACAAUCUUAUUUAUUUUUUAACAAACUAAAAUGAUAAUAAACAACUGUGAUAUACCCCGCAUAAGGCGUGCAAAAGACAAAUCACACAUGAGUAUUUACAAAUUCAAGGUGCAAAACACAAAGAAAGCACCCCCAAAACAGAAGAAAAAAAAAAAGAUUACAAGUGAACACCCAUAGCCAUGAAUAGGGUCGAACGACCACCUCCAAAAAUCGUGAACAUCAUCCUGCAAAACAAUGUUAUGUAAUAAAACAUAACACUCUCUCACACUUUCCACACUAACUUACAUUACUCUUUGUGCAUUUUAGACUUACAUUUAUUAUCAAUGUUCAUUUGCUCCUUAUGAUGCAUAUUUACACACCUACUCAAAGCUUCAACUUUGUCUAUGUACCAAAUCGGGUUUUUCACAUAGCUAGAUCUCAGAGGGACUAAAAGUCUCUACUAGUUCACCAAAAUAAUUAUCAUCAGGUCCUGACUCAAGCCAGAUUGAAAAUGCUAUAAUUCAAAAUACAAUGCUACAAUUAAGAACUGAAAUUAAACUACUUGGACCUAUAGCUCUUACUCACACCCCCAAACUUAGAACUGAAUGGUGUGAACACCUUUCAAAUUCAAGGUUUAGAUUUUGGAGUUGUGGCUAUUAUUAUAGUAUUUAAUCAAAGACUAAAAACAGAGAAGAGAUAACAAAAAAACAAACUAAAAAAGUUAAUCAAAACAAGAAUUUAAAAAAGAUAAAAGCAAGACUUCCAUGUAUGUCUCUGGUGCUUUCCUCAUUUAUUGGACUGUUAUGAGAAGACUCCUUUUAAAGAUCAAUAAUUUUGUCUUGUUCUUCCUCCUCAACAAACUCAAUCAGUUUACCUUUUCCCUUGCGAUCAACAACUCAGUUCUUUGAAGUUGCGAUUAGAUUUAUUAUUGAAUUAAGAAGUCCAAUUGCUAAAUCUUAGUACAAUCAACUAUCAAUAAUUUACAACACAAUUUACAAAACUAAACAAUUCUCAUAUCAAACCUAAAUUCAAUAAAACAAGCUAUCACUAAUGAACAUAAUGUAUAUGAACUAAUGAAUUGGAACUUGAUUGAAUCCAGUUAUGAUCAAAUUGGCUUAGAAAAGAAUAUUAAUUCAAUGAACUAAGAUUAGGUUUACAAUUAAAAUUAUGAUCACAUUCAAAUCAAUUAACAACAAUUAUUAAGAUUCAUAUACAACAAUUAACACAAAGUAAAGAGGAAGAAAAAGACACCGGAAUUUAUAAUAGUUCCCCCUUUCGUCCUCACUUCGGGGUAUAUAUACUCUUCUUGAUAGAGAACGUCUCUAUCAAGGACUUCAACAAUUGUUAAAAUUUGAUUACAAUGUUAUGAUUACAAGAAUUAUCUCAAUUACCCUAAUUUUCAAUUCCUAUGCAACCACAACCCCCAAUCUUCAAGUAACCCUUGAAAUUGGUGAUUCUCCAGGUCUUCGAAUCCUCAAACACCCAUGCAAUCCUUGAAGCUCUUCACCUCAAACUCUUCUUUUCUAUGUCAGGUGCUUGGAUCCCCUUGCACUUGAGAAGAUUAGAAAGAACCCCUAAUACCCUUGGAGGUGGAAAGAAAUCACUCUAUUCACUUUGGAUUCUUGAUUCCCAACCAAGAUCCUUAAAAGCAAUCAACUUACAAUACCUAUAACAAUCUAGAAAUCUAUGACUCAAAGACCACAAUGAUUAUUAGAAAAAGAGUUUAAUCUGAAGAUCAAGUGGAGAUAGAGGUUUGGAGACUCUAGACAGAAUAGUUGC
Molecule: long non-coding RNA, 10519 nt
Filed under: Medicago truncatula (barrel medic)
Lineage: Eukaryota; Viridiplantae; Streptophyta; Magnoliopsida; Fabales; Fabaceae
Description: long non-coding RNA (MTRU_LNC000480)
Source: RNAcentral